UGCGGCCCCUGUGCCCGUAUCGACCAACUCGAGCUGGCUCUCCCCCGUAUCCCUCCCCUUCUCCUUCUCUCCCUCCCAGCGGCGGGCGCUUCGUCGGCGGCGAGCCUCGUCGGACGCUCUCCUCGACGGCGUCGGGUACCUCCCCGCGCGGCCCCUGGUUGGCCCGUCGGUGGCGUCGCCGGAGCUCAUUAGGUCCGUGACCGAGCACCAACGGCAGCUCGCCCAGGCGCUUGUCGACAAGGCCAAGGCCAUCUGCGAACACCACGGGGUUGAUGCAGAGAUCGUCAUCGAGGUGGGUGAUCCCAAGGAAACCAUAUGUCAAGCUGCAGACAAGUUGAAUGUUGAUCUGCUCAUCCUGGGCAGCCACAGCCGUGGACCUAUACAGAGGUACCGAUCAUAAUCCUUUUCUGCUCAUCCGGAUUUCAUUUUGAGUUCUGGACAUGUGUUACUCCCUUGCGCUCUGUUCUAAAUCAAUUACCAAAUUCCUGUCAAUGCUAAUUGCAAUGUUGUUCUUAUUAUUUGCUCACAAUGUGACUGACGCGUGAAUUGGAGAUGGAUAAAUACUUGUUGUCAAGAGCUACAUUUUAUUUAGAUAAAUAGGUAGCUGUCAGAUACAAAGUGUUGAUUAGUGCGAGCGCGUGACGGGGCGGCGGCGGCAGCGCACGAGCACGCGGGUGACAAGCGAGGUAGCUACGUGCGACGUUGAACGGCGUGGACAGCACGACGCGUUGGCUUCCCGGCACGGGCGUCUCAGCCACAACAUCCACAUGAAAGUACUAGCUCAUCGUCAUGGAGAAGCCCGGCGGCGAGGGCACCUCCAAGCACCAGAUGAUCGACUGCUACAUACAGACCCUCGCCAAGGUCCUCGGAAGCGAGGAGGAGGCCAAGAAGAAGAUUUACAACGUCUCGUGUGAGCGCUACUUUGGGUUCGGGUGUGAGAUUGAUGAAGAGACAUCCAACAAGCUUGAAGGUAUUCCUGGUGUUCUUUUUGUGCUCCCUGAUUCCUAUGUUGACCCUGAACACAAGGACUAUGGAGGCGUCGACUUCAAGGUCAAGAUGGUUAACAUUGCCGGCAAGAAGCUUAAGCUCGCCGUCUGGGACAAUGGAGGCGUUGUUAAUUACCUAGUGUUGGCAGCGAGACAGUGAGAGCUGCAACUCCGACAACCUUGAGGGGCAACUCCAAUUUCCUCUGGCUUAACCAUCGUACACAGGAAAGGUUUAGGACCUUGACCAACUCUUACUACAGAGGGGCACAAGGGAUCAUCAUGGUGUAUGAUGUUACUCGCCGAGACACGUUCACAAAUCUGUCUGACAUAUGGGACAAGGAAAUUGACCUGUAUUCGACCAACCAGGACCGCAUAGGAAACAAAGUGGACAAGGCUCUUAAUCUGUUCCAGCUUACUAGUUUUCUCAGGAGCAAGAACAUAUAUUUGAUAUGCAGUGUCUUCUCUCUCUCACUCUCUACAUAUUAGUACUUAUGUUCUUCAUAUACGUGCAUGAUGGCCGCCUGCUACCCUACUUAAAUUGGACAGAAAUAUAUGUUUUGCAUAUGUGAGGCCACGUUGGUUGGGCGUUUCCUGAA
Molecule: RNA transcript, 1582 nt
Organism: Hordeum vulgare subsp. vulgare (domesticated barley)
Lineage: Eukaryota; Viridiplantae; Streptophyta; Magnoliopsida; Poales; Poaceae
Gene name: multiple organellar RNA editing factor 6, mitochondrial-like
Exons: 8
Source: RefSeq, a predicted model, not a curated record